GUGUCAGCCGCCGCGGUAAUACAGAGGUCUCAACCGUUGUUCGGAUUCAUUGGGCGUAAAGGGUGCGUAGGCGGUCGCGUAAGUCGGAUGUGAAAUCUCAGGGCUCAACCCUGAAACUGCAUUCGAUACUGCGUGGCUAGGGUACUGGAGAGGAGACUGGAAUUUACGGUGUAGCAGUGAAAUGCGUAGAUAUCGUAAGGAAGACCAGUGGCGAAGGCGAGUCUCUGGACAGUUACCGACGCUGAGGCACGAAGGCCAGGGGAGCAAACGGGAUUAGAAACCCUCGUAGUCC
Molecule: ribosomal RNA, 292 nt
Filed under: uncultured bacterium
Lineage: Bacteria
Description: partial 16S ribosomal RNA
Rfam family: Bacterial small subunit ribosomal RNA
Source: RNAcentral